UACGUAGGGAGCAAGCGUUGUCCGGAAUCAUUGGGCGUAAAGCGCGCGUAGGUGGCUUCGUAAGUCCGUUGUGAAAGUCAAAGGCUCAACCUUUGAAUGCCGAUGGAUACUGCGGAGCUAGAGUACGGAAGAGGCGAGUGGAAUUCCUGGUGUAGCGGUGGAAUGCGCAGAUAUCAGGAGGAACACCAAUAGCGAAGGCAGCUCGCUGGGACGUUACUGACACUAAGGCGCGAAAGCGUGGGGAGCGAACGGG
RNAcentral lists this ribosomal RNA (253 nucleotides) under uncultured bacterium. RNAcentral's name for it is "partial 16S ribosomal RNA". It matches the Rfam family "Bacterial small subunit ribosomal RNA", at positions 524 to 776 of the family's 1533-position model. The record is from RNAcentral.